UCUAUUUAUGUGCAACGUCACAGGCACACGCCGUGUCAUCCUCGGUGCUUUCCCGAAGCUGGUUUGCAGGAGCGAGCGCCCAGCUAAGCCAGAGGGCUCGGCCUCCGUCCGCGACAUCCCGCGGGGCUCACACCCGGGCCUCCCGCCGCAGAACUCCCAGGAAGCGACCACAGCUUGUUACUCUGUGAAAGAAACGGUCCCCGCUGCAGACUCCGCUGCUAGUCCGGGGGACGAAAACGAGGAGAAACGGCAAGGAUUUAAGAAAGUGAUAAAGAAAGUGUGGGUGUACUCCCAGAGGUAGCUACCAAUUGCUUCUGCAAUUCCAAUGACCGGAGCUUAGAAAAUGCAUGCAUCCGUCUCCACACUCCACUGGCUCCUACAAGAUCUACUAAUUUUUCAGACGAGACCUGGUAUAUAUUCAGAAACUCUGGAAAGAGCACAGUGUUCUGCAGCAAAAGCCAAAAUUAUUUCUGAGCUUCCUUCUGA
Microcebus murinus (gray mouse lemur) is the source of this 486-nucleotide non-coding RNA. Lineage: Eukaryota; Metazoa; Chordata; Mammalia; Primates; Cheirogaleidae. The record is from RefSeq and is a predicted model, not a curated record.